GUAUUUUAUUAAUAUUUAAAAAUUUCAGUCAAAGAUUCGUUAUAGACGAGAUGAGAUAUAAAAAUUGGCAGGCCAAGCACUGCUCGUAAGGGAAACCCCUCAUUCUCUCACAUUAAAGAGAAAACCUGCCAACUCACGCUUCUAUAGUUCACACAAGGUGGAUAUGGAUAAAAUCAUCCAUAUGAUUGGAUAAUUGUUAAUGAUCCUUCCGCAGGUUCACCUACGGAAA
Molecule: unclassified non-coding RNA, 229 nt
Filed under: uncultured fungus
Lineage: Eukaryota; Fungi
Description: sequence contains ITS1
Source: RNAcentral